ACAUGCAUAAUUGUACACAUUCUCAUCUGAGGUUGGUUUAAGACAAGUAUCUAAAAUGAGAUUGCUUGCAGUCACCUACAUGUUAUUGUGAGACCUGUUGUAACUUCUAUAAAAGCCCCUGACAGGCCUCUGUUAUAUGCCGCUAUAUGCUGCCUCUGUUAUAUACUGCUGUAGAAAUGAUUUUGCAUGAGGUUUCUGUUGGAACUUCAGUGUAUCUCCACAUUCAUGAUAACUAAGAAGGAAUUACAUGCUCAUAGUAUUGUUCUGUCUUUCAGGUGACUAAUAAGCAGCCUUCUCCUGUGGCAGCAGACUCCAAGAUGGUCUCUGAUCUGAGUACCCUACAAAAAUCCCAGGGGGAGGAUGCUAACACACAGGUAAACAAGCUGUUACAAAAAGAAUCUGGGCACCAGAAGAAUGUUCUGCAGUAGAAAGGCAUUUGAGAAGGUUCUUAGUGAUGAAUGAAGUACCAGGUAAGGAAGACUGUCAGCAGUGCAUUGCUGCAGAACCUGAAGCCCUUGGAAGCAGAGAGUGGAAAGUGGUAAAAUAUCUCGUUAAAUACCGCAUUGCUUCCCACAGGAGAAAAUUACAAUGAAAGAUUGUAAGAUUUGUCUAAACACUUUAAUGUGUGUAAUGUUAAUGGUGUUUAUUAUUUUGUAUUAGUGUUUUUGUAGAUUCUCAUUGUUAUGGAAGCUGUAUGAUCUUUCUUCUCCUGAAAGCUGUGUAUAACAAUGGGUACACACAAUGUUCUGGACCUGAAUUUAUGUGAUCCUUACAUUUAUUAUUUGUUCGGGUCCUGUGAUCAGGAUCACACCAGUGAAAGCUCAUAGGUUUUGACAAAGCACACUGUGAUUGGUGUUUUUCUAUUAUUUUGUAUAGUUUUCACAGGGUUGAUCUGAAAGAUGUAUAUUUUAUUUACUUUUUUUUGUACUGAAACUGCCUGCACACUAUGUUCUAAUUUAUGUGGAACUGCCUUUUUUCAAAUAUAAAUACAUGCUUCUUGAGGACAAAA
Long non-coding RNA from Tachysurus fulvidraco (yellow catfish), 1009 nucleotides. RefSeq lists it as uncharacterized. The record is from RefSeq and is a predicted model, not a curated record. NCBI's taxonomy places the organism in Eukaryota, Metazoa, Chordata, Actinopteri, Siluriformes, Bagridae. The transcript has 2 exons.